This 64-nucleotide transfer RNA is filed under the name Placobdella lamothei. RNAcentral describes it as "transfer RNA Proline". It matches the Rfam family "tRNA". From Rfam's summary of the family: Transfer RNA (tRNA) molecules are approximately 80 nucleotides in length. The record is from RNAcentral. Lineage: Eukaryota; Metazoa; Annelida; Clitellata; Rhynchobdellida; Glossiphoniidae.
CAGAUUAUAAUUUAAGGAAAAUAUUGGCUUUGGAAGCUAAAAAUCAUAUUCAUAUGUUAUCUGA